AGGACGAACGCUGGCGGCGUGCUUAACACAUGCAAGUCGGAGGGGGCUCAGCAAUGGGUCACCGGCGAACGGGUGCGUAACACGUGAGCAACCUGCCGCAGAGUGGGGGAUAGCCGGCCCAACGGCCGGGUAAUACCGCAUACGAUCGUAUCGGGACAUCCCGUAACGAUGAAAGAUUUAUCGCUCUGUGAGGGGCUCGCGGCCUAUCAGCUAGUUGCGAGGUAACGCUCACAAGGCGACGACGGGUAGCUGGUCUGAGAGGAUGGCCAGCCACAGUUGGGACUGCGACACGGCCCAGACUCCUACGGGAGGCAGCAGUGGGGAAUCUUGCGCAAGUGGGCGAAAGCCUGACGCAGCGACGCGCGUGGGAGGAAGGUUUCGGAUCGUAACCCUGUUCGCCGGACGAUCCACGACUUCAUGUGUUGACGGUACGGUGAGGAGCGACG
Molecule: ribosomal RNA, 446 nt
Filed under: uncultured soil bacterium
Lineage: Bacteria
Description: bacterial SSU rRNA
Rfam family: Bacterial small subunit ribosomal RNA
Source: RNAcentral